ACGGCUACCUUGUUACGACUUAGCCCCAGUCACCGGUUUUACCUUAGGGCGCUCCUUGCGGUUGCACACUUCAGGCACUCCCGGCUUCCAUGGCUUGACGGGCGGUGUGUACAAGGCCCGGGAACGUAUUCACCGCGCCGUGGCUGAUGCGCGAUUACUAGCGAAUCCAGCUUCAUGGAGUCGGGUUGCAGACUCCAAUCCGAACUGAGACAGGCUUUGAAGUUCCGCUCUGCGUCGCCGCAUCGCUUCUCUCUGUACCUGCCAUUGUAACACGUGUGUCGCCCCGGACGUAAGGGCCGUGCUGAUUUGACGUCAUCCCCGCCUUCCUCACAACUUGCGCCGGCAGUCUCGCCAGAGUCCCCAACUUUACUUGCUGGUAACUGGCGAUGGGGGUUGCGCUCGUUAUGGCACUUAAGCCGACACCUCACGGCACGAGCUGACGACAACCAUGCAGCACCUCGACGGAUGUCCCGUAGGACUGCCUCCUUUCAGAAACAUCCAUCCGUCGUUUGAA
RNAcentral lists this ribosomal RNA (514 nucleotides) under uncultured bacterium. RNAcentral's name for it is "partial 16S ribosomal RNA". The record is from RNAcentral.